AAGGCUAUUUGUUGAUGUACCUCUUUUACUAAAUGUACCCCAUCAUGGCUUGAUAUAGUUUUGCCAGUUGGCAAAAUUUGCCACUCUAAGAAAUUAGGAGCAUGGUACCAUUUUAGUAAUGACUAAUAAAGUGCCAGCAGUCGCGGUCAUACUUUAAUUACAAGUAAAAGUAUUUAGCAGACUGUAAAUGCAAUAUAGAUCUUUGUAGUGAAAUAUAAAUAUAAACCCACGAUCUCAUUUAUAAAUAAUAUAACGGUUGAUUUCAAACAGGGAUUAGAUACCCCUUUAUGCAGCACGUACUCUACUCUGCUGGGAACUACACUAGACACUCAAACCCAACCAACAUGGCGGUAACUUGAACAUUUAGGGGAACUUACGGAAUAAUUGAUAACCACCAAGAACACAUACGUUUGAUUAAAUCUUACAUACCGUCGUCGGCAGACAUACUAUAAUAGUAUGUCACAAGGUAUUACAAGAAGACAGAUCAAGGUGUAGACUAUACAAACGUUCGCGCGAGUUACAAUAAAAAUUUUAUUCAUACAACAAUGUUAUCAUUGACAGAUGUAGGACUUAAAAGUAAUAAAUAUCAUGAUUAUUUUAUGAAUACCACUCUA
This 614-nucleotide ribosomal RNA is filed under the name Codringtonia codringtonii. RNAcentral describes it as "partial small subunit ribosomal RNA". The record is from RNAcentral. Lineage: Eukaryota; Metazoa; Mollusca; Gastropoda; Stylommatophora; Helicidae.